GGUCAAUGAUGUAACGGCAUGUAUUAACUGACUAAAGCUGAAGACUCUUCCUUUUAGCUCUAGAAUUACACUGAGACCUG
Small nucleolar RNA from Euleptes europaea (tarantolino), 80 nucleotides. RefSeq annotates it as small nucleolar RNA SNORD45. The transcript has a single exon. Lineage: Eukaryota; Metazoa; Chordata; Lepidosauria; Squamata; Sphaerodactylidae. The record is from RefSeq and is a predicted model, not a curated record.